RNAcentral lists this ribosomal RNA (492 nucleotides) under uncultured bacterium. Its description in RNAcentral is "partial 16S ribosomal RNA". It matches the Rfam family "Bacterial small subunit ribosomal RNA", at positions 29 to 507 of the family's 1533-position model. The record is from RNAcentral.
AGUGAACGCUGGCGGUAGGCCUAACACAUGCAAGUCGAACGGCAGCACAGUAAGAGCUUGCUCUUACGGGUGGCGAGUGGCGGACGGGUGAGGAAUACAUCGGAAUCUACUUUUUCGUGGGGGAUAACGUAGGGAAACUUACGCUAAUACCGCAUACGACCUACGGGUGAAAGCAGGGGAUCUUCGGACCUUGCGCGAUUGAAUGAGCCGAUGUCGGAUUAGCUAGUUGGCGGGGUAAAGGCCCACCAAGGCGACGAUCCGUAGCUGGUCUGAGAGGAUGAUCAGCCACACUGGAACUUGGACACGGUCCAGACUCCUAAGGGAGGCAGCAGUGGGGAAUAUUGGACAAUGGGCGCAAGCCUGAUCCAGCCAUACCGCGUGGGUGAAGAAGGCCUUCGGGUUGUAAAGCCCUUUUGUUGGGAAAGAAAAGCAGCAGGUUAAUACCCCGCUGUUCUGACGGUACCCAAAGAAUAAGCACCGGCUAACUUCGUG